GGAAAGAUGGCAGCAGGACAUACAGAUCUCAACAACUCUUAAAUUGCCAAGGCCAACAUGCAAGUCAUCAUAGCCUUGAACAUGUGAGGCAGAGAGCCCAAAUGAGAUGAACACCUUGGGCAAUAUCAGGUGACUGUUGUUCCAGUGCCACCAGAACAUUGCAAGUCUUGUAGUCAAAGCCUGUUUAGAAGACGACACAGGAAUAAAUUAACUUCCUUUCAUAGCGAAGCACAGCUACAUGGAACCAUAUGCCCGAAAUUCCA
Mauremys reevesii (Reeves's turtle) is the source of this 263-nucleotide long non-coding RNA. RefSeq lists it as uncharacterized. The record is from RefSeq and is a predicted model, not a curated record. The transcript is spliced from 3 exons. Lineage: Eukaryota; Metazoa; Chordata; Testudines; Geoemydidae.